This 675-nucleotide ribosomal RNA is filed under the name uncultured bacterium. Its description in RNAcentral is "bacterial SSU rRNA". It matches the Rfam family "Bacterial small subunit ribosomal RNA", at positions 8 to 694 of the family's 1533-position model. The record is from RNAcentral.
AGAGUUUGAUCCUGGCUCAGGAUGAACGCUGGCGGUAUGCCUUACACAUGCAAGUCGAACGGGAAUUAGCUUCGGUUAAUUCUAGUGGCGGACGGGUGAGUAACACGUGAGAAUUCGCCUUUAGGAGGGGGAUAACGAAUGGAAACAUUCGCUAAAACCCCAUAUGCCCCUGGGUGAAACAGAGGAUAUCAGUUAAACUAACUAACCUCUGCCUGAAGAGAAGCUCGCGGCUGAUUAGCUAGUUGGUAGGGUAAUGGCCUACCAAGGCGACGAUCAGUAGCUGGUCUGAGAGGACGAUCAGCCACACUGGAACUGAGACACGGUCCAGACUCCUACGGGAGGCAGCAGUGAGGAAUUUUCUGCAAUGGGCGAAAGCCUGACAGAGCAAUACCGCGUGAGGGAUGAAGACUUACUGAGUUGUAAACCUCGGUACCUUAAGGAAGAAGAUAUGACGGUACUUAAGGUGGAAAGCAUCGGCUAACUCCGUGCCAGCAGCCGCGGUAAGACGGGGGAUGCAAGUGUUAUCCGGAUUUACUGGGCGUAAAGCGUCUGCAGGUGGUUCCUUAAGUCUACUGUUAAAUCUUGAGGCUCAACCUCAAAUCUGCAGUAGAAACUAGGAGACUUGAGUAUAGUAGGGGUAGAGGGAAUUUCCAGUGUAGCGGUGAAAUGCGUAGA